CCCAUAUGAAUAUUAAUGCUACACCUCAGCAUGCACCCUCUCAUAGUUGUCAAGGCUGUAAUUCACAACACACGUCUCACCAAGAGAUUUUCCUGCGCGGCGCUCCAAAGCCCUAACAAGCUUUGAGCAGAUGACAGAACAGUCUGGCAAGCUGGCAGUCAUGGCAGAAAUGGACAUUUCUGCAGAAAAAAAAACCCCAAAGAUUUAUACGAUGUCUUCUGGAACAGCAAUACAUUACGGAAGAUCUACAUAAUUGCACUCUACAUGAUGCCAUCUACUUUGUACAGCCCACUGUGCUGGAAUAUGUGCGCUGAUCACCUAAGCCACUGCGGGGCACAGCAGCUCAAGCACCACCUCUUUCCUCCUGGAUCACCAUCCUGACGCACAGGGUCUAAGGGCAAAGGGCACUGCAGUAAGGGAGCCCUUCCUGGCAGAAAUGCAGGAUCCAUUGCACUACAUGAGGCUACGUGAGGUCCCUCACUACCCCAGCACUUCUUCCUGCACACGUCAGCUUGGUGGGAGAGCGAGGACAGGGGAGCAAGGACAUGCAGAACUGCAAGGAGGACGCCCCAAAACUCAUGCUAGCUGCACUGCAGCCCUUUGCUGUACCCAGUAGCUCCUGCUGCUUUCUGCACAGCCAACUGGCAGCGUGCAGUGAGCACUGUGCUGUCCCGACCGGCGUUAGGUGCUAACAGGAAGCCCAGAAGGACUAGAUAAAAACCAAAAGGAAACAAACAGCACCAGAUGUAGUGCACUGCACCGAGGACCGGGCUGAAUGAGGAGCCCCCCCCAGGCGAGGGGCUGUGCUGCCUCAAAAGCAGAGCGAGGGGAGCGCUGGCUGAGUCACCACUGCUUCCUGUUCUCCCCGUUCUGCGAUGGGGCAAUGCAGGCCGGCCAGCCUGCUCCCCUCGUGGGGCACCCUGCUGCCCCGGGCUGCAGAGCAGGAAGGGAGAGCGUGGAGCAGCAGGGUGCUGCCAGGCACAGAGCGGGCAGCCGCUCCCCGAGGCUGCUGUCAGCCUGGGCGGUGUGGGUGCCCUGGGUAUCACAUGCAGUAUGUGACAUACACUG
This is a long non-coding RNA of Gallus gallus (chicken), 1068 nucleotides long. The record is from Ensembl. NCBI's taxonomy places the organism in Eukaryota, Metazoa, Chordata, Aves, Galliformes, Phasianidae.